AGCUCCAAUAGCGUAUAUUAAAAUUGCUGCAGUUAAAAAGCUCGUAGUUGGAUGUCUGGUGUGGUGCUCCGGGCCCGCCGCCGUUAGGCGGUGAGUGCUUGUUGUGCGCCUACCAUCCUUCUGGAGAGUGCGUUCUACCCUUAACUGGGCUGGAGCGUGCGAUCUAGAUCGUUUACUUUGAAAAAAUUAGAGUGUUUAAAGCAGGCGUUUGUUAUGAAUACAUUAGCAUGGAAUAAUAAGAUAGGACUUUGGUUCUAUUUUGUUGGUUUCUAGGACUGAAGUAAUGAUUGAUAGGGACAGUUGGGGGUGCUAGUAUUUAACGGCCAGAGGUGAAAUUCUUGGAUUCGUUAAAGACUAACUUAUGCGAAAGCAUUCACCAAGGAUGUCUUCU
This 391-nucleotide ribosomal RNA is filed under the name uncultured eukaryote. RNAcentral describes it as "SSU rRNA". It matches the Rfam family "Eukaryotic small subunit ribosomal RNA", at positions 587 to 972 of the family's 1831-position model. The record is from RNAcentral.